AUGUCCCCGGUCUCCAUCUGCAUGGCCCUCGUCGUCCUCCUCAUCACGCUCCUCGCGCCGCCUUCCUCCUCCCCCUCCGCGCCGCCCCCCGUCACCGCCGCCACGCUCGUCUACCUCGAGUCCCCCUCCGACUCCCCGGCCCAGAAGCUCCUCGGCGCGCUCCUCGACGCCGCCGUCUUCGUCGCGCUCGUCGCCGUCGUCACCUUCAUCCUCGUCGCGCUCUACUACUACCGCUGCACCGGCUUCCUCAAGAACUACAUGCGCUUCUCCGCCUUCUUCGUCCUCUUCUCCAUGGGCGGCGCCAUCCCAGUCGCCCUCCUCCGCCGCCUCGACGCCCCGCUCGACGCGCCCACCGCGCUCCUCCUCCUCUUCAACGCCUCCGCCGUCGGCGUCCUCUCCGUCUUCGCCUCCGCGGUCCCCAUCCUCGUCCGCCAGGGCUACAUGGUCGCGCUCGCCGUCAUCGUCGCCGCCUGGCUCUCCAGGCUCCCCGAGUGGACCACCUGGAUCAUGCUCCUCGCCCUCGCCGUCUAUGACCUCGUCGCCGUGCUCGCGCCAAGGGGCCCGCUCAGGAUGCUUGUGGAGCUCGCCUCCUCCAGGGACGACGAACUCCCGGCGCUCAUCUACGAAUCACGCCCCACGGUAGGCCCACCCGAGACUUCCUCCUCCUAUGCUCCGGCAAUGUGGUCCGAGGAGUCGCAGCACCCCGAUUCUGCCGCCCGAUCGGGCCCAAACCUGUAUGACAGGGUGGGUCAGCAGGAUGAUUCCGGUCCUGCCAUGGUAGAAAUGAGGGAUCUUGGCUCAGCAAGCCGUGACAUGACUACCUCAAAUCAAGGUGUAACAGGGCAGACAUCAAAUCAAGGUGGGAGCGCACAGCAUGCUGUCAUUCUGAUCGAGCAGGGUCAGGAAGAAGAAGAGGCAGCUCCAUUGGUGUCAGCGGCAUCUGCCAACCCUACCGUCGCCAAUGAGGAGCAUACACAAAUUUCUACAUCAGAACCUCCCGAGGAGGAGUUUGAGAUGUUUGAGUCUAGCAGGGGCAUCAAGCUGGGACUUGGCGAUUUUGUCUUCUACAGCGUGCUUGUGGGGAGGGCUGCCAUGUAUGACCUCAUGACGGUCUAUGCGUGCUACCUUGCCAUCAUCGCUGGGCUUGGCUGCACCCUCAUCUUGCUGUCAAUAUGCAGGCACGCAUUGCCUGCACUCCCGAUCUCUAUCAUGCUGGGAGUCGUGUUCUACUUCUUGACGCGGUUGCUGAUGGAGCCAUUCGUUGUCGGCGCUUCGACCAAUUUGGUGAUGUUCUGA
RNAcentral lists this ribosomal RNA (1296 nucleotides) under Triticum aestivum (bread wheat). Its description in RNAcentral is "partial small subunit ribosomal RNA". The record is from RNAcentral. Lineage: Eukaryota; Viridiplantae; Streptophyta; Magnoliopsida; Poales; Poaceae.